GACGAACGCUGGCGGCGUGCUUAACACAUGCAAGUCGAACGGAAAGGCCCUGCUUUUGUGGGGUGCUCGAGUGGCGAACGGGUGAGUAACACGUGAGUAACCUGCCCUUGACUUUGGGAUAACUUCAGGAAACUGGGGCUAAUACCGGAUAGGAGCUCCUGCUGCAUGGUGGGGGUUGGAAAGUUUCGGCGGUUGGGGAUGGACUCGCGGCUUAUCAGCUUGUUGGUGGGGUAGUGGCUUACCAAGGCUUUGACGGGUAGCCGGCCUGAGAGGGUGACCGGCCACAUUGGGACUGAGAUACGGCCCAGACUCCUACGGGAGGCAGCAGUGGGGAAUAUUGCACAAUGGGCGGAAGCCUGAUGCAGCAACGCCGCGUGCGGGAUGACGGCCUUCGGGUUGUAAACCGCUUGCGCCUGUGACGAAGCGUGAGUGACGGUAAUGGGUAAAGAAGCAACGGCUAACUACGUG
RNAcentral lists this ribosomal RNA (468 nucleotides) under uncultured bacterium. Its description in RNAcentral is "partial 16S ribosomal RNA". It matches the Rfam family "Bacterial small subunit ribosomal RNA", at positions 28 to 507 of the family's 1533-position model. The record is from RNAcentral.